RNAcentral lists this long non-coding RNA (1826 nucleotides) under Olea europaea subsp. europaea. Lineage: Eukaryota; Viridiplantae; Streptophyta; Magnoliopsida; Lamiales; Oleaceae. The record is from RNAcentral.
AAGGCUCAAGUUCAAAUUUUCAUCCACAAACUAGUAAACCAUGUUACAAGAAGUUGCAAACAUACUCCUACAAUUCCUACUUUUGAAGUUCGAAACAACAUAACAAAUGCAAUUAUUUAAUUACACGAGAGAGGAACUCAAAAAUUGGAAAAGGUAAUAGGAAACGAUCCCAAAAAUAUGGACAAUCCAAUUUAACUACUGAAAUUGAUGUAGACAAUGGAGGUAUCUCAUCCCAAAGUGUUUAGGGGGCCUCAGCUUCUCUUCUUGCCUUCAUAUAAUAUUCCAUCGUUGCUUCAGGAUCCUUGAAUUAGAUUGAAUUUUGGCCCAACCAGUUCUACCCAGUGCAUCACCAUUGUUUUGCCAUGUAAACAUCCAACAUCUUUGCCAUUUCCAACAUAAUCGAAGGUGGAAACUGUACAUGUACAUCUUUGCCAUCUCCAAGAGUGUUUUGCAUGUAUGACAAGAAUUGAGAAAAUCCACAGAAGGAGAACUGAGAAAUUGGCGUCAAAAUCAACUUACCUUUUGUUAUCAGACGAAUUAGGAUCCUCACAGCAGCUUGCAACAAUGCAGUUAUCAAUUAUAUGUGUUGUUUUUGGAUUAGGCCUAUGAGUGAUCACACAAGUAAAGUCCUCAGAAAGCUCAAUUUCCUUCAAAGAUAAUUGCCUAGUAAAACUCUGAGGAGAAUCCUUUGCUGGGAUGCUAGAAAAAGGACUCAACAACUGAGAAUCCCUAGUCUUGAUUCCAAAAUCAGCUGGAGAUUCAGGUGAUUCGACUAGGGAAUUGAGGAUUUGGACCAAUUUUUGGAGAUUCCAGUGGCUUCUUAGUGUAGUUUAUUACAAGAAUUUGGAGAUGGGAUUGAGGAUUUGGACCAAUUUUUGUCAUACCCAAAAGGGUUAGCAGAAUUUGAUGAGUUUUUUGUGUCAAGAAUUGAGGUUGGACUUGUUGCUACAGAUUCCGCAUCAGAAACAUUCUUUGUUAAAAACCCAUUCAAAAAUCUAGGUGAUCCCAGGAAAGAUGACAUAGAGGUUGUGGGAUUUUUUGGGCUAGUCAUUACUCUAGAUUUAUUCCUCAACAUUACUAACUCUAAUCUCUAUUUGGUUAAAUAUUUUACCAAAAGUUCAUUGCCAGAAUAAUAACGAAAAGAAGAAAAAAUAAUUAUAAAUCCCGAAAAUUCCAGAAUAAAAUGAACAUGGGUUUAAAGAAAAAAACUAACCAGGAACCAUUGUAAAUUUUGGUCUUCUUGAAUAACUGAUCAAGGCACUGGAAAAAGUCUGAAAAGAAUAAGCAAAAAAUUGCUUCUCCACUCAAAUGCUGGAAUUUGUGAAAAAUAAAACAAAUAAAAAGGGUAGAAAACACUGAUAAAUCUCAUUAGUCUCGAUAUUUUGAACACAAAAACUGAUAUAAAAAACCAAAUCUUUUUUCCCUUUUUCCAUACGAACAAAUAGUCAAAAUCAAGCCCAGAUUUGCAUUGAUGAUCAACAAGAUUCAAUAGCUUUCAUCAGUUUCCUGUGUCUAUGUGACUGUGUUUUUAAUUCAAUAAAAAUAUAUAUAUUAGCAGAGUAGACAGAGCAACAUGCUAGAAAAUGGAGACAAGUGAGAAAAAGGGUGGAGACAUUGCUUGUUCUGUUUCCAUUCUUUUAAUAUUACCAACCAGUUCCACCCAGUGCAUCACCAUUGUGUUGAAUACCUCCAUGGCAAUCUAAGCAUAUUGUUGGAUUUUGGCAAUGGAAAUAGAGAAAGGUUUAUCACGAAUCUGUAGGAGCAUCAUCACCGGCAAAACCAGACUGCAGGAGUAACAUUAAACAAGUUCCUCAAAAUUAAUUAUA